RNAcentral lists this ribosomal RNA (301 nucleotides) under uncultured bacterium. RNAcentral's name for it is "partial 16S ribosomal RNA". It matches the Rfam family "Bacterial small subunit ribosomal RNA", at positions 509 to 807 of the family's 1533-position model. The record is from RNAcentral.
CAGUAGCCGCGGUAAUACGAAGGGUGCAAGCGUUAAUCGGAAUUACUGGGCGUAAAGCGUGCGUAGGCGGUGAGUUAAGUCUGCUGUGAAAUCCCCGGGCUCAACCUGGGAAUGGCAGUGGAUACUGGCUCGCUAGAGUGUGUCAGAGGAGGGUGGAAUUCCCGGUGUAGCGGUGAAAUGCGUAGAGAUCGGGAGGAACAUCAGUGGCGAAGGCGGCCAUCUGGGACAACACUGACGCUGAGGCACGAAAGCGUGGGGAGCAAACAGGAUUAGAUACCCGCGUAGUCCCUGUCUCUUAUAC